Scatophagus argus is the source of this 750-nucleotide long non-coding RNA. RefSeq lists it as uncharacterized. The record is from RefSeq and is a predicted model, not a curated record. NCBI's taxonomy places the organism in Eukaryota, Metazoa, Chordata, Actinopteri, Scatophagidae. The transcript is spliced from 3 exons.
UUUUUAAGCUCCUCUUUCGUGGCUGAGUUUUUUUUUUUUUUUUUUAGCAUUGUCUCUAACAGGAGACUAUUCCCUGCUGUUUAGAUGAAUACAUCUAUCAGUCCUCAGAAAGUCUAGUCGUCACUGAUGACGUCCACGUCCUCGCCUCCUGGCUGCUGAGUGGCUGCUCUCCAGCGGUUCACAUGCUGAUUGCCCUUCCUCUUCUGCUGAGCUUCAGGAGACUCCUCCUCCAACUUCUGACGCUUGUGCUUUGUCCUGCGGUUCUGAAACCAUACCUUCACCUGUGCAAAGAGAGACAAGUGAAUGUCAACAGCUCAUAAAUAAGCAUGGAUGAUUCACAUCGUUUCACUGACGCCCAGGCUCGUAUCACCGUGGCGACCUGAUGACAAAUACUGUCAAUCACUCCAGAGGAAAGGAGGAGGGAGUGACUUGGAUCUGACUAACCACCGACUCAUUUCUUCCCCAUCAUUCCUCUGGUCUGGAGUGAUGCCAGCUGAUGUCAGAUCAAUUUCCGUUUCUGAGAAACACCAAGGAGGUGAAGACUGUUCACAUAAUGACAUAAUGCACACUUUAAUGAAUACAGUUAGACUGAAAACUGACCAGAGACCAGCAGUUUGUCUGAAAUGUUUCAGCAGCUGUCGUUCAUUGAGCUGACGAUAAAUAUGAUUGAAUGAGUGAAUAAGAAUACACUGUCUUUAGUGUUUAGGACUUUUUAAAGUACACUUUCUAUUCAUCUGUUCACAAAUUCAU